RNAcentral lists this ribosomal RNA (174 nucleotides) under uncultured Sanguibacter sp. Its description in RNAcentral is "partial 16S ribosomal RNA". It matches the Rfam family "Bacterial small subunit ribosomal RNA", at positions 338 to 524 of the family's 1533-position model. Lineage: Bacteria; Bacillati; Actinomycetota; Actinomycetes; Micrococcales; Sanguibacteraceae. The record is from RNAcentral.
CCUACGGGAGGCAGCAGUGGGGAAUAUUGCACAAUGGGCGAAAGCCUGAUGCAGCGACGCCGCGUGAGGGAUGAAGGCCUUCGGGUUGUAAACCUCUUUCAGUAGGGAAGAAGCGAAAGUGACGGUACCUGCAGAAGAAGCGCCGGCUAACUACGUGCCAGCAGCCGCGGUAAU